GGCUACCUGGCGCAAUGGUAGCGCGUUUGGCUUCGAUCGCCUGACGGCUGCUGACUAGUCCAGUCACGUCACCAAACGGUUGCAGGUUCGAGUCCUGCGGUGGUCA
Molecule: non-coding RNA, 106 nt
Organism: Trametes cingulata
Lineage: Eukaryota; Fungi; Basidiomycota; Agaricomycetes; Polyporales; Polyporaceae
Source: the annotation of a GenBank genome assembly